GACGAACGCUGGCGGCGUGCUUAACACAUGCAAGUCGAACGGAAAGGCCCUGCUUUUGUGGGGUGCUCGAGUGGCGAACGGGUGAGUAACACGUGAGUAACCUGCCCUUGACUUUGGGAUAACUUCAGGAAACUGGGGCUAAUACCGGAUAGGAGCUCCUGCUGCAUGGUGGGGGUUGGAAAGUUUCGGCGGUUGGGGAUGGACUCGCGGCUUAUCAGCUUGUUGGUGGGGUAGUGGCUUACCAAGGCUUUGACGGGUAGCCGGCCUGAGAGGGUGACCGGCAACAUGGGAAUGGGGGAACGGCCCGGACCCUACGGGAGGCAGCAGUGGGGAAUAUUGCACAAUGGGCGGAAGCCUGAUGCAGCAACGCCGCGUGCGGGAUGACGGCCUUCGGGUUGUAAACCGCUUUCGCCUGUGACGAAGCGUGAGUGACGGUAAUGGGUAAAGAAGCACCGGCUAACUACGUG
This 467-nucleotide ribosomal RNA is filed under the name uncultured bacterium. RNAcentral describes it as "partial 16S ribosomal RNA". It matches the Rfam family "Bacterial small subunit ribosomal RNA", at positions 28 to 507 of the family's 1533-position model. The record is from RNAcentral.